This 706-nucleotide ribosomal RNA is filed under the name uncultured Acidobacteriota bacterium. RNAcentral describes it as "bacterial SSU rRNA". It matches the Rfam family "Bacterial small subunit ribosomal RNA", at positions 62 to 769 of the family's 1533-position model. Lineage: Bacteria; Pseudomonadati; Acidobacteriota. The record is from RNAcentral.
UCGAGCGAGGCGGGGAGCAAUCCCCAGUCGAGCGGCGAACGGGUGAGUAACGCGUGGAUGACCUGCCCUUCAGCGGGGAAUAACCCGGGGAAACUCGGGCUAAUACCGCAUACGACCGAGAGGUGAAAGGGGGCCGCAAGGCUCUCACUGAAGGAGGGGUCCGCGUUCGAUUAGCUAGUUGGUAGGGUAAUGGCCUACCAAGGCGACGAUCGAUAGCCGGCCUGAGAGGGUGAUCGGCCACACUGGAACUGAGACACGGUCCAGACUCCUACGGGAGGCAGCAGUGGGGAAUUUUGCGCAAUGGGCUAACGCCUGACGCAGCAACGCCGCGUGGAGGAUGAAGGUCUUUGGAUUGUAAACUCCUGUCAGCAGGGAAAAAGGGACCCGGCCUCAUACGUCGGGAACUUGAUUGUACCUGCAGAGGAAGCCCCGGCUAACUCUGUGCCAGCAGCCGCGGUAAUACAGAGGGGGCAAGCGUUAUUCGGAAUUAUUGGGCGUAAAGGGCGCGUAGGCGGCUUUGCAAGUGACGGGUGAAAUCCCUCGGCUUAACCGAGGAACUGCCUGUCAGACUGCAUUGCUUGAGUCCGGGAGAGGUGAGUGGAAUUCCCAGUGUAGCGGUGAAAUGCGUAGAUAUUGGGAGGAACACCAGUGGCGAAGGCGGCUCACUGGACCGGAACUGACGCUGAGGCGCGAAAGCGUGGGGAGC